Molecule: ribosomal RNA, 495 nt
Filed under: Triticum aestivum (bread wheat)
Lineage: Eukaryota; Viridiplantae; Streptophyta; Magnoliopsida; Poales; Poaceae
Description: partial small subunit ribosomal RNA
Source: RNAcentral
CGGCGCCCACGCAACAGCCACAAGGUCAUCGCCUCGUCACCGGCGAUGGAGCGUCAGCUCUUCCUGCUGAACCAGCACGCGGUCGUGGUCACCGCGGUGGGCACCAAGGCGCAUGCGGCGAGCCCGCUCUCCCUCGGCCGCGCGAUCGAGCGCGAGCUCAAGAUCCCCCCACACCUGCUCCACAUCACCAGCCACGACCCUGAAGACUUCUUCGUCUACUUCACCAUGCCGGCGCACAAGGACCUGGCGGUGCGGCGCGGCUCGCUGUCGGUGGACGGCGUGCCGUUCCUGCUCGAGCCAUGGCGGGAGGACACCCACGCCGUCCGGCUCAAGUGGAUGCUGCAUGCUCGUGUCGUCAUCGAGCGGCUCCCCAUGCAGCUAUGGACGAUCGAGGGCGCGAUCGAGGCCAUUGGUGACAAGGUCAUCGUCGACCGCCUCGACAGCCGGACCCACGAGCGCGUCGACACCAAGCUGUUCGCUUGCUGGGUCUGGUGC